RNAcentral lists this ribosomal RNA (459 nucleotides) under uncultured Weissella sp. RNAcentral's name for it is "partial 16S ribosomal RNA". It matches the Rfam family "Bacterial small subunit ribosomal RNA", at positions 341 to 792 of the family's 1533-position model. The record is from RNAcentral. Lineage: Bacteria; Bacillati; Bacillota; Bacilli; Lactobacillales; Lactobacillaceae.
ACGGAAGGCAGCAGUAGGGAAUCUUCCACAAUGGGCGAAAGCCUGCUGGAGCAACGCCGCGUGUGUGAUGAAGGGUUUCGGCUCGUAAAACUCUGUUGUAAGAGAAGAAUGACAUUGAGAGUAACUAUUCAAUGUGUGACGGUAUCUUACCAGAAAGGAACGGCUAAAUACGUGCCAGCAGCCGCGCUAAUACGUAUGUUCCAAACGUUAUCCGGAUUUAUUGGGCGUAAAGCGAGCGCAGACGAUUAUUUAAGUCUGAAGUGAAAGCCCUCAGCUCAACUGAGGAAUUGCUUUGGAAACUGGAUGACUUGAGUGCAGUAGAGGAAAGUGGAACUCCAUGUGUAGCGGUGAAAUGCGUAGAUAUAUGGAAGAACACCAGUGGCGAAGGCGGCUUUCUGGACUGUAACUGACGUUGAGGCUCGAAAGUGUGGGUAGCAAACAGGAUUAGAUACCCUGGUA